This is a non-coding RNA of Homo sapiens (human), 117 nucleotides long. It matches the Rfam family "Metazoan signal recognition particle RNA". From Rfam's summary of the family: The signal recognition particle (SRP) is a universally conserved ribonucleoprotein. It is involved in the co-translational targeting of proteins to membranes. The eukaryotic SRP consists of a 300-nucleotide 7S RNA and six proteins: SRPs 72, 68, 54, 19, 14, and 9. The record is from Rfam. Lineage: Eukaryota; Metazoa; Chordata; Mammalia; Primates; Hominidae.
GCUGGGCAUGGUGGCUCAUGCCUGUAAUCCCAGUACUUUGGGAAGCUGAGGUGGGAGGAUCACUUGAGCCCAGGAGUUUGAGGUCAGCCUGGGCAACAUAGUGAGACCCUGUCUCUA